Molecule: long non-coding RNA, 872 nt
Organism: Triticum aestivum (bread wheat)
Lineage: Eukaryota; Viridiplantae; Streptophyta; Magnoliopsida; Poales; Poaceae
Exons: 3
Source: RefSeq, a predicted model, not a curated record
CUCCUGGAGACCCGUUAAUCCUGGCGGGUAGCGUGUCCGUCUUCAUUCCCCAUUUCCAGCGGCGCGAGCUUGAGGCGUUGAUUCAUGGCGAUUUUUGACUAGAGAUUUCAGUAGCUGAUCUCUCGUGGGCAAGCCGGUGGUUAAGCAUCCGCUCCAACUCCCCUUUCCCAUCCUCUGCUUCCUUGUGCUCAAGCGCGCGCAGAGGGAGAGGCGAAAUCGAUGCCAUGGCGAUCUGGCUGCGUUGUCUUCUCUGCUUCUCUUGACUUCGUGCCACUCCUCAUAUUCCUCGAGUGGAUCUGCGAACCUUGUACCCCCUCCUCAUCCUCCAUCCAUGGUUGGUUUUGAUUUGUUAAUGCUAUAAGAGAGUCAUACAUUAAGGAACUUAGCUUCAUCAUGUUCGAGACAGGCAGGGGAGAGAAAUCUGUCUAAAUCAUACUUAGUAUGUGGUGAUUGCAAAGUUGGGGGUGUUUACCUGUGUUUAGUCAUCUUCGGCAGAGUGGAUCAUCUUCAGGUUUCUGUCCCAGAUCAUGGAGGAAUCGCCCCCUUGGUUGGCGCUUAUUCCCGUUUCCUCUAGCUGUUCCCCCCUCCAUGUUCUUCCCCUCUGCAGUGCAUUUUUGUAGUGGAUAUUACACUGAAAAUAAUAGUGGAGUUAUUAUUGUAAUUUUAUAGCUUUUCAAUGUAAUUUUUAGUGCUCCUAAUUUGUCAUGUCAUUUUAGGUGUGUGUGCGUAGGUGACAUGCAUCAUCCUGAUCCUUUCCUUUUCUUUUUGUUUUGCUUUAGCUUAGUGCACAUGUACAUAGUAAAGCUUGCCUGUAUAUUUGGGUUUUUUUUGCCCUCCUUGUUAUUUUUCUGUCAGAGCGGGAAAAGUUGGGU